UACAGAGGGUGCAAGCGUUAAUCGGAAUUACUGGGCGUAAAGCGUGCGUAGACGGUUAUGUAAGUCAGAUGUGAAAGCCCCGGGCUCAACCUGGGAAUUGCAUUUGAGACUGCAUGGCUAGGGUGCGGAAGAGGGAAGCGGAAUUUCCGGUGUAGCGGUGAAAUGCGUAGAUAUCGGGAGGAACACCCGUGGCGAAGGCGGCCAUCUGGACCAGCACUGACGCUGAGGCACGAAAGCGUGGGGAGCAAACAGG
This 253-nucleotide ribosomal RNA is filed under the name uncultured bacterium. RNAcentral describes it as "partial 16S ribosomal RNA". It matches the Rfam family "Bacterial small subunit ribosomal RNA", at positions 524 to 776 of the family's 1533-position model. The record is from RNAcentral.